RNAcentral lists this unclassified non-coding RNA (497 nucleotides) under Hevea brasiliensis (rubber tree). Lineage: Eukaryota; Viridiplantae; Streptophyta; Magnoliopsida; Malpighiales; Euphorbiaceae. The record is from RNAcentral.
GACCGAAGAGGGUGGUGGGUUCAGCUCAUUUGGAGCUUGAGAAGAAGGGUUUGGGUUUGAUGUCAAGUGGGUUGAGUCCUUCUGAGGAAAAAAAGUGUGAUAAGGGAACUGUUGUUGGAAAUGGCAAAGAGGGUCAAAUUGAGGACAAUGUAGCUGGUGAGCCACACAGCAAGGGUGAUGCCACAAAGGGCAAAGGGCGGAGAGGGAGGAAAAAGAAGGUGUUGGUUGCUUCUUCACCGGGAGGACAAACUAAGGAAGGACGUGAUGAUUUGGUAGGUUUUGAAGGUGGCAAAACAAUGAAGGUGGAGGAUGGCAUUGAUGCCAGUACCCAAGUGCAUGUUGAUGAAAGCAAUGUUAAGGGUCAGGAUACGCCUGGCAGGAGAGGCAGUGGAAGGAAAAGACUUAAAGUGGAUUAUACUGAAUUGCACGAAGAUGAAUUCACUGACGAUGAAGAAAUUGAUGCCAGAACUGAUCAGUGUGAGGUUAAGCCUGUAAGG